GCAUUGCUGACGAGUUCCAAACAGAACGAAACGGCUGUUUAGUGC
This 45-nucleotide non-coding RNA is filed under the name Echinostoma caproni. The record is from RNAcentral. Lineage: Eukaryota; Metazoa; Platyhelminthes; Trematoda; Plagiorchiida; Echinostomatidae.